AAUGAAUCAAAAUAUUUUUUUUUUAAAUUCAGGACUUGAUAAAAUAAACAGCUGGAAAUAAGCAGACUACUGUAAGAGUGAAUUGAAAAGAAAACCCAAGGUCACAUCUCCCAAGAAGCAGUAAUGUUCCAGCAAUAAGAAAAGGACAGUUUUUUGUCUUUUGCAUGGUGAGCCUUAUGUGAAUUACAUCAAUUUUGUCACCAAUAUCCAUCAUCAGAACAUUUUGCUCACUUUUCUAGGAGAACUAUGGCCACUAUGGAGAAUAUGAAAACAUUGCUAAAGGAGGUGAAAGCGAUUUCAGAAGAGUCAUAUAUUAGCUUUUGGCAGUGACAGCGUUAUGGGCACGGACAUUCAGCCUUUCCAGUUGACUGCUUUGAAGGGGCAAUGUUCACGUGGAAGUAUACCUCCUAGCUCAAGGACACUAGGAAAAAGACGUAAAUAGAAGUAUAUAUUAUCAUCUAGAUGGUGACUCUCCAAGGGGAUGAUGAGGGAACAGAAGUAAUGCUACCCUAAUUCUGAAAUAAUAAAAGCUCAAGCAAUGAAUGGCUGAAUUCACACCUCAAAAUUUCAUGGAAGACAGGCAUACAAAAAUAAGCUUUCAAAAUUGAAUGAACUCAUUACCACAAUUAAAGAAAACAAAAAGAAACAUUUUGCAUAACUGCUGGUUUUGCUGCUCCUUCUGCUAAUUGAGUUUGUCUGGAAGAAUCACUGUGUGGACCACUGAUGCUUCAGUGCACUUAACCAACACCUUUAGAAGAAAACAGGAUAGCUACAAAGGUUCACAAGAAAUGAAAAACCCAAGGCAUCCCUCGCCCUCUCCCUGCAAGUCACCUGCUAUGAAUACCUGCAUUCAUUCUUCAAAGCAUUUAUCACUCCCUGGAAUGCCACAUAUUUAUUACCUGUCUCCACACAUUACGAAUAAGAUGUAUAGAGCAGGAACCUGUCAUUCUUCUCCAUCCUAUCUUCCCAGUGCCUGCCUCAGUGCCUGACACACAGCAGGUGCUCCAAAGGAAUAAAUAAAUUAGGAAAUCCUACCACCUCCUUCUACCAUGUAAUAUCUACUACCCUGGAGUGGAAUGAAAGGGUUAAAAUACCCAAUGACAGCCUCAGGUCUUUCCUUCUUUCCUGUAGGGUGUGGAAACUCUACAGGAAGAACCAACACAAAUUAAAGUGUCUGUCUAAAAAAUCAAUUGGGGCAGGCAUCUUCUUCUGAACUACAUUUACUAGAGCCUGCCACCCACAGAUGUCAAAGGAAUUCACAGGAUUAAAAGAAAAGGCUGGUGGUGAGAAAGUUAAUAACUACUCUUGUGACAUCUAGGGCUGGGCUACAAGUGGUCAGCACAUGGACCUCUCCAUAUAUGUUGUUAGAUGUCAAGGAGUGGCUUUACAGAUAGACAGCCUUGGACCCCAAUGCUAAAUCUUCCACUUAUUAGCAUGGUCAUGGGCAAGUUAUUUAACCUCUCCAAACCUCUAUUUCCUAAUCUCUACCACAGAGAUAACAGUACCUACUUCACAGGGCUGUUACGAGGCUCAAAUGCAAGAAUAUAUGUAAGCAACUAGCUCAAGCCUGGCAUACAAUGGUAACUGCUAUUACUAUUGUUAUAUGAGCUAUUGAUAUUUUUAUCUGAUCCCAGAUAAUACUCAAUAAUCAAAGUUAAUCUCCAUCUGCUUUUCUGAACCAGGAAUUACUGCUUUAUCCUGGGAUUACUAUAAGGUCAAGAUGGCAAGUGAGUUUCAGCUCAUAUUCUGAGUCACAUGGAUUUCAAGUGAAUGCUUGGGGGCUGGUUGAGAUGCACUGUGCUGUGAUUGAUUGUGACAUGUGCCAAGGGUGUGGAGCCAGGCUCGUUGGUUGGUUCUAAUAUUAGAAUUGGUAAGCCUCUUGUAGUAGUAUCACAGAGACUAACAGCUAUUUUAAUAUUAUAUAAUAAAGCAUAGAGAAAUCAAAA
Molecule: long non-coding RNA, 1946 nt
Organism: Symphalangus syndactylus (siamang)
Lineage: Eukaryota; Metazoa; Chordata; Mammalia; Primates; Hylobatidae
Source: RefSeq, a predicted model, not a curated record